CAGUCGCCGCGGUAAAACGGAGGGUGCAAGCGUUAAUCGGAAUUACUGGGCGUAAAGCGCACGCAGGCGGUCUGACAAGUCAGAUGUGAAAUCCCCGGGCUUAACCUGGGAACUGCAUUUGAAACUGUCAGGCUGGAGUCUUGUAGAGGGGGGUGGAAUUCCAGGUGUAGCGGUGAAAUGCGUAGAGAUCUGGAGGAAUACCGGUGGCGAAGGCGGCCCCCUGGACAAAGACUGACGCUCAGGUGCGAAAGCGUGGGGAGCAAACAGGAUUAGAUACCCGGGUAGUCCCUGUCUCUUAUAC
Molecule: ribosomal RNA, 301 nt
Filed under: uncultured bacterium
Lineage: Bacteria
Description: partial 16S ribosomal RNA
Rfam family: Bacterial small subunit ribosomal RNA
Source: RNAcentral